UACGGAAGGUGCAAGCGUUGUUCGGAGUGACUGGGCGUAAAGCGCACGUAGUCGGAUUUGUAAGUCGGAUGUGAAAUCCCCGAGCUUAACUUGGGAAUUGCAUCCGAAACUACAAGUCUUGAAUACCUCAGGGGUUGGUGGAAUUCCAGGUGUAGGAGUGAAAUCCGUAGAGAUCUGGAGGAACACCGGAGGCGAAGGCGGCCAACUGGGAGUGUAUUGACGAUGAGGUGCGAAAGCGUGGGGAGCAAACAGG
This 253-nucleotide ribosomal RNA is filed under the name uncultured bacterium. RNAcentral's name for it is "partial 16S ribosomal RNA". It matches the Rfam family "Bacterial small subunit ribosomal RNA", at positions 524 to 776 of the family's 1533-position model. The record is from RNAcentral.